GGGCAGGUACCCAAGUGGCCAAAGGGGGCUGACUGUAAAUCAGCUGGCACAGCCUUCAGUGGUUCGAAUCCGCUCCUGCCCA
RNAcentral lists this transfer RNA (82 nucleotides) under Anaerolineae bacterium. RNAcentral describes it as "tRNA-Tyr". It matches the Rfam family "tRNA". From Rfam's summary of the family: Transfer RNA (tRNA) molecules are approximately 80 nucleotides in length. Their secondary structure includes four short double-helical elements and three loops (D, anti-codon, and T loops). The record is from RNAcentral. RNAcentral also lists the same sequence under 1 other name. Lineage: Bacteria; Bacillati; Chloroflexota; Anaerolineae.